RNAcentral lists this ribosomal RNA (578 nucleotides) under Acetobacteraceae bacterium AP32. Its description in RNAcentral is "bacterial SSU rRNA". It matches the Rfam family "Bacterial small subunit ribosomal RNA", at positions 339 to 934 of the family's 1533-position model. Lineage: Bacteria; Pseudomonadati; Pseudomonadota; Alphaproteobacteria; Acetobacterales; Acetobacteraceae. The record is from RNAcentral.
CUACGGGAGGCAGCAGUGGGGAAUAUUGGACAAUGGGGGGAACCCUGAUCCAGCAAUGCCGCGUGUGUGAAGAAGGUCUUCGGAUUGUAAAGCACUUUCACUAGGGAAGAUGAUGACGGUACCUAGAGAAGAAGCCCCGGCUAACUUCGUGCCAGCAGCCGCGGUAAUACGAAGGGGGCUAGCGUUGCUCGGAAUGACUGGGCGUAAAGGGCGCGUAGGCUGUUUGUACAGUCAGAUGUGAAAUCCCCGGGCUUAACCUGGGAACUGCAUUUGAUACGUGCAGACUAGAGUCCGAGAGAGGGUUGUGGAAUUCCCAGUGUAGAGGUGAAAUUCGUAGAUAUUGGGAAGAACACCGGUUGCGAAGGCGGCAACCUGGCUCGGAACUGACGCUGAGGCGCGAAAGCGUGGGGAGCGAACAGGAUUAGAUACCCUGGUAGUCCACGCUGUAAACGAUGUGUGCUGGAUGUUGGGUGAUUUUAUCAUUCAGUGUCGGAGCUAACGCGUUAAGCACACCGCCUGGGGAGUACGGCCGCAAGGUUAAAACUCAAANGAAUUGACGGGGGGCCGCACAAGCGGUG